UACGUAGGGUGCAAGCGUUGUCCGGAAUCAUUGGGCGUAAAGCGCGUGUAGGCGGUUCGGUAAGUCGGCUGUGAAAGUCCAGGGCUCAACCCUGGGAUGCCGGUCGAUACUGCCGGACUAGAGUUCGGAAGAGGCGAGUGGAAUUCCCGGUGUAGCGGUGAAAUGCGCAGAUAUCGGGAGGAACACCAAUGGCGAAGGCAGCUCGCUGGGACGUUACUGACGCUGAGACGCGAAAGCGUGGGGAGCAAACAGG
Molecule: ribosomal RNA, 253 nt
Filed under: uncultured bacterium
Lineage: Bacteria
Description: partial 16S ribosomal RNA
Rfam family: Bacterial small subunit ribosomal RNA
Source: RNAcentral